UACGAACUGUGCAAACGUUAUUCGGAUUCACUGGGCUUACAGGGUGCGUAGGCGGCCUGUUAAGUAGGGUGUGAAAGCCCCCGGCUCAACCGGGGAAUGGCGCCCUAAACUGGCGGGCUGGAGUGAGAUAAGGGUGUGUGGAACUUCCGGUGGAGCGGUGAAAUGUGUUGAUAUCGGAAGGAACGCCGGUGGCGAAAGCGACACACUGGGUCUCAACUGACGCUGAGGCACGAAAGCCAGGGGAGCGAACGGG
This 253-nucleotide ribosomal RNA is filed under the name uncultured bacterium. RNAcentral's name for it is "partial 16S ribosomal RNA". It matches the Rfam family "Bacterial small subunit ribosomal RNA", at positions 524 to 776 of the family's 1533-position model. The record is from RNAcentral.